CUGACUCUCGAUAGGUUACGGGCAAAGAGGAUGGUGUAGGUAGAAUGAUUAGGUUCAUUGCUGUACGUACAUUUUUGAUAACACAGAUCAUGUUUGGGAAAUGGAAAAGUGUUGCAAGAACUGUAUUAUGGGCUGCUUUCACCUGUAUGAGUGUGAUUGGGUUGUGUGGUUGUUGUUUGGUCCCGUGUGCAAGAGGUUUAAUCACCAGAACUCUAGAGAGAUGAUAACGGAGCAGAUGGUGAGCUACGGACCGAGUCAAAGUUCAGAUCAAUGAGAUGACAAGUACCUACCGCCGAGCAAGGUGGAGGAUUCAUUCAAAUAUGACGAGCACAUGUUAGAUGAGACCAUCUAUUGGGAUGCAUGAAUUAGUUUGAAUUUGUGUGAAAUUUCUGAAUCCAAUCAAAAUAGAUGUGUUAUAAUGUAUGUGAAAUAUCUAGCAAAACGGGUGGAUUGUAAUGGAAAUGAUAUGAUUUUAAUCCCUAUUGAGACUUGACAAGCUAUCUGCUGAGGUGAGACGUGAAGAGGGGGACUCACAAAAUUUAUAAUCUAACGUUUUACCUAAUGAUAUAUAAGGAGGGCAUUUGCACAACAUGUUUCACAACAGCACACAACAAAAUUCCAGAGACAUAUUGAGCGACCAACUGAUACCAAUCACGACCACACCCAGAGACAGAUGGCUGACUUAAGCCCUAGCCACACGAACUGACCACUGGUGUAAAGAACAACAUUCCAUGAAUAUCGCAAGCACUCAGACACGAAUUACCAGAAAUACACACACACACACACACACACUUAGGUGUGUUGGACUCCGAGGACAAAGGACACUGCCAAGGGCCAAUGGGAAGUCGACACCACCUGGAGAGUGGACCGUCCCUCCACUCAUCGACCAGUCAGGAGAGCGGACCUACUAGACUCAACGUCAACACACUGUUAUUUCAUUGUAUAAAUUGGAUGUAUACUAUGUUUCGGGGCUCUCUUCCGCUAGUUCCCUAUGAGCUAAACGAAGGAGUCCGUGCACGCUUUGCCAAAUAUCUUUGUCUCAUAAUAAACUGCCUUACUAUAAACU
Molecule: long non-coding RNA, 1066 nt
Filed under: Salmo salar (Atlantic salmon)
Lineage: Eukaryota; Metazoa; Chordata; Actinopteri; Salmoniformes; Salmonidae
Description: lncRNA (ENSSSAG00000085415.1)
Source: RNAcentral